CCAUAAUUCCAGGGCGACAGAUAGAUAACAAGCUGCACAUUCCUUAUCACAUAUGGAAUCAAUCUGAAAGGAGUCUCUUGAUCAAAAUCUGUUAAUUGCAGUGACAUGUGAUUGGGAAAGAAAACACAAUUAAUGACCCUUCGUGUUACGGCUUGGGGAAGAGGCCACUGACACUUGGCGUUUUACAGCCCGCCAACUUCUUUUUUUUAAAAAUUAUUUGUUAACUCUUAGACGGAGCCGUUCAGCAAAACCUCGCGUUUGUUUUGUCUCCUCUUCUGCAGGGCUUCCCCGGCGGGGGCGAGUGUGUGUGUGUGCACGAGCUUCCUUAAAGGUUUGGGGAGCCAAAAUGAUUUAGUGCCUUGUCUGUAAAUCUAAUGACCUAAGGAUAUCCUUUUCCUUCAAAGUCUCCAGAAAUUACAAGACAUGCCGCUUUUAUGGGGCCAUUUGUUAGGAGACUGACAAGGUUGUUGGCUUUGUAGCACCAGCAGGGAUAAAGGUCUUAUGAUGGCACAGGGCCAUGGAUUGUUGUGGCAUGGAUGCCAUGGUAAUCUUUACAUAAGAGUGUCUGUGUAUCUGUUAGCAGUGGAAAGAUUGCAACUUUCUUCUUUCAGAAGAUGGAGAAAGAUACAACAAGGCAUUGAGAUCCAUGAAGCUGUCCAUAUGUCGUAGCAAUAUUGAAUGUACAGAAUCAACAUACAACUUUAAGAUUAUUUUUGUGUUCCAGACAAAAUUUUCUGAACACUUGGAUUGUGGCACAGAAUUCUGCAGCAAGUAGUUGGGAACAGAGUAGAUUAUGUUGCAAAACAAUGUAUAAACUCAUUAUAUAAUAUAGUUGUUUAGAAAUGUGGAUGUAUAACAUAGAUGGGAUGGUAAAAUGACAGCAUGUCUAGCUCUACAAGGACAUAACUGCACUCCUGAACAAUCUCUGAGUAUGUAUUCAGAGCCCCUACUCAGCACUGCUAAUGGCAUUGUGGAAAACCAAAAAUACCCUUCUUAGUAGAGGCAGUGUUGAACACUUCAUUUCCUUAAAAAGAAAUCUGGAAAACUUCCCAGAUUAUAUAUCUGUCCCUCUAACUUCAGAGGAUAUGACUGCACUAGGAGACCAUGAGUAAGAUUAAUACUUGGGGCCUCUCUUUCUCUUGUAGUGCUUUUAUUUUAGGUUUCUGAAAGUUCCUGGUUCUUGUAACAUGGUGCAAAUGUUAAGGAAAAUAAAUAAUACAUAUGCAUACA
Molecule: long non-coding RNA, 1230 nt
Filed under: Crocodylus porosus (Australian saltwater crocodile)
Lineage: Eukaryota; Metazoa; Chordata; Crocodylia; Crocodylidae
Description: lncRNA (ENSCPRG00005003392.1)
Source: RNAcentral